AGUGGAUGGGGAGCAACCUAGUUGUGCGUGUGUAAAGGUAGUGCCAAGAAAAGCGAUGAUCAUGUUGAAAAUCAAUUCCCGGUACCCGAAACCGACACAGGUGGGCAAGAAGAGAAUACUAAGGGGCGCGAGGUAACUCUCUCCAAGGAACUCGGCAAAAUGACCCCGUAACUUAGGGAGAAGGGGUGCCACCGAGAGGUGGUCGCAGUGAAGAGGCCCAGGCGACUGUUUAGCAAAAACAUAGGUCUCUGCAAACUCGAAAGAGGAGGUAUAGGGGCUGACGCCUGCCCAGUGCCGGAAGGUUAAAGAAGUUGGUCAGUCUUAGGAUGAAGCUAGCGACUGAAGCCCCGGUGAACGGCGGCCGUAACUAUAACGGUCCUAAGGUAGCGAAAUUCCUUGUCGGGUAAGUUCCGACCCGCACGAAAGGCGUAACGAUCUGGGCGCUGUCUCGGAGAGAGGCUCGGCGAAAUAGGAUUGUCUGUGAAGAUACGGACUACCUGCAUUUGGACAGAAAGACCCUAUGAAGCUUUACUAUAGCUUGGAAUUGUGUUCGGGCUUCCUGUGCGCAGGAUAGGUGGGAGGCGUAGAAGGUAUUCUUGUGGGGAUACUGGAGCCAACGGUGAGAUACCACUCUCAGGAGGCUAGAAUUCUAACUUAAUUAAGGACAGUUUCAGGUGGGUAGUUUGACUGGGGCGGUCGCCUCCAAAAGGUAACGGAGGCGUACAAAGGUUCCCUCAGGCUGGUUGGAAAUCAGUCGAAGAGUGCAAAGGCAGAAGGGAGCUUGACUGCGAGAAGUACAGUUCGAGCAGGGUGGAAACACGGUCUUAGUGAUCCGACGGUGCUGUGUGGAAGGGCCGUCGCUCAACGGAUAAAAGUUACUCUAGGAUAACAGGCUGAUCUCCCCCAAGAGUUCACAUCGACGGGGAGGUUUGGCACCUCGAUUUCGGCUCAUCGCAACCUGGGGCGGAAGUACGUCCCAAGGGUUGGGCUGUUCGCCCAUUAAAGCGGUACGUGAGCUGGGUUCAGAACGUCGUGAGACAGUUCGGUCCAUAUCCGAUGUAGGCGUGAGAAUAUUGAGAGGAGCCUUCCUUAGUACGAGAGGACCGGGAAGGACGCACCGCUGGUGUACCUGUUAUGAUGCCAAUUGUAAACGCAGGGUAGCCAAGUGCGGAGAGGAUAACCGCUGAAAGCAUCUAAGUGGGAAGCCCACCUCAAGAUGAGUAUUCUGGUGUAAGGUCACGGGAAGACGACCCGUAAAUAGGCACGAGGUGGAAGUGCAGAGAUGUAUGAAGCCGAAGUGUACUAAUAGACCGUCGGCUUGACCG
RNAcentral lists this ribosomal RNA (1325 nucleotides) under metagenome. RNAcentral describes it as "bacterial LSU rRNA". It matches the Rfam family "Bacterial large subunit ribosomal RNA", at positions 1561 to 2925 of the family's 2925-position model. The record is from RNAcentral.